GAAAUGCGAUAAGUAGUGUGAAUUGCAGAAUUCAGUGAAUCAUCGAAUCUUUGAACGCACAUUGCGCCCCUUGGUAUUCCAUGGGGCAUGCCUGUUCGAGCGUCAUUUGUACCCUCAAGCUCUGCUUGGUGUUGGGUGUUUGUCCCGUCUCCGCGCGUGGACUCGCCCCAAAGUGAUUGGCAGCCGGCGUACUGGUCCCGGAGCGCAGCACAUGUCGCGCAAACGAGUGCCUUGGUACGGCGGCGUCCAUAAGCCCCUCUCUCACGCUCUUGACCUCGGAUCAGGUAGGGAUACCCGCUGAACUUGAGC
RNAcentral lists this unclassified non-coding RNA (309 nucleotides) under plant metagenome. RNAcentral describes it as "partial contains 5.8S ribosomal RNA, internal transcribed spacer 2, and large subunit ribosomal RNA". The stretch from base 1 to 105 matches the Rfam family "5.8S ribosomal RNA", at positions 50 to 154 of the family's 154-position model. The record is from RNAcentral.